GACGAACGCUGGCGGCGUGCUUAACACAUGCAAGUCGAACGGAAAGGCCCUGCUUUUGUUGGGUUCUCGAGUGGCGAACGGGUGAGUUACACGUGAGUAACCUUCCCUUGACUUUGUGAUAACUUCAGGUAACUGGUUCUAAUACCGGAUAGGAUCUCCUUCUGCAUGGUGGUGGUUGGUAAGUUUCGGCGGUUGGUGAUGGAGUCGCGGCUUUUCAGCUUGUUUGUGGGGUAGUGGCUUACCAAGGCUUUGACGGGUAGCCGGCAUGUGAGGGUUACCGGCGACAUUGGGACUGAGAGACGGCCCAGACUCCUACGGGAGGAAGCAGUGGGGAAUAUUGCACAAUGGGAGGAAGCCUGAUGCAGAAACGCCGCGUGCGGGAUGACGGCCUUCGGGUUGUAAACCGCUUUCGCAUGUGACGAAGCGUGAGUGACGGUAAUGGGUAAAGAAGCACCGGCUAACUACGUG
Molecule: ribosomal RNA, 468 nt
Filed under: uncultured bacterium
Lineage: Bacteria
Description: partial 16S ribosomal RNA
Rfam family: Bacterial small subunit ribosomal RNA
Source: RNAcentral